Molecule: ribosomal RNA, 468 nt
Filed under: uncultured bacterium
Lineage: Bacteria
Description: partial 16S ribosomal RNA
Rfam family: Bacterial small subunit ribosomal RNA
Source: RNAcentral
GACGAACGCUGGCGGCGUGCUUAACACAUGCAAGUCGAACGGAAAGGCCCUGCUUUUGUGGGGUGCUCGAUGGGCGAAGGGGUGAGUAACACGUAAGUAACCUGCCCUUGACUUUGGGAUAGCGUCAGGAAACUGGGGCUAAUACCAGAUAGGAGCGCCGGCUGUUUGGUGGGGCUUGGAAAGUUUCGGCGGUUUGGGAUGGACUCGCGGCUUAUCAGCUUGUUGGUGGGGUAGUGGCUUACCAAGGCUUUGACGGGUAGCCGGCCUGAGAGGGUGACCGGCCCCAGUGGCACACAGAUACGGGCCAGAGUCCUACGGGAGGCAGGAGUGGGGGAUUUAGCCCAAACCGCCGAAGCAUGAUGCAGCAUCGCCGCGUGCUGGAUGACGGCCUUCGGGUUGUAAACCGUUUUCGCGUGUGACGAAGCGUGAGUGACGGUAACGGAUAAAGAAGGACCGGCUAACUACGUG